This is a long non-coding RNA of Papaver somniferum (opium poppy), 389 nucleotides long. RefSeq lists it as uncharacterized. The record is from RefSeq and is a predicted model, not a curated record. Lineage: Eukaryota; Viridiplantae; Streptophyta; Magnoliopsida; Ranunculales; Papaveraceae. The transcript is spliced from 3 exons.
UUCUAUUCUUCUUUUCGUUUUUCUCUCUGGCGAUUCUGAGAGUCAUUUCUGAAGCCGUGAAAUCAAAAAGAAACUUAGGGAAAUCAAUUAUCUAGUUUGAUAGAUGAAGAAGGGGUGAUUGUUCUGGGAAACUUUUAAGAAGAGGAUGGUUUCGAUAAUGAAUCGAAAACAGUGGAUCUUGGAUCUCGAGGUAGUCAUGGCUUGUCAUCAAAACAGUUUCAGAUUUCAGAAGUGAUGGCGUGCUUGGAGAUAUUCAUUUCGUAGUUCGAAGUUUUAGCGGAUUAAGAACGUUUAUGUAUCUUUAUAUUUAUGUAUUAUUGUUUAUCUGUAAACAUCACAUUAAAAUAUUCAUAUCAUUUGAGAGUUUCCAUAAUGAAGUAAUCAGAGUG